ACGGAGGCUUUCGAGGGGGCCCCUUUGAAUGACCGUAAUGAAGAUUCUCCUGCGUGCCGUUAUAUUCCACAUCUUCAUUGGCAGCCUUUAUGGCUACACCCAGAAACUGACUGCUGGCAGAGGAACUUUGGGAGAACUUAUCAAAGCACUCAACACCACAGAACCAAUCUGGUUGAUUAAACGCACCUAC
Molecule: long non-coding RNA, 190 nt
Filed under: Dermacentor andersoni
Lineage: Eukaryota; Metazoa; Arthropoda; Arachnida; Ixodida; Ixodidae
Description: uncharacterized LOC126526638
Source: RNAcentral